AUUGAACGCUGGCGGCAGGCCUAACACAUGCAAGUCGAACGGUAACAGGAAACAGCUUGCUGUUUCGCUGACGAGUGGCGGACGGGUGAGUAAUGUCUGGGAAACUGCCUGAUGGAGGGGGAUAACUACUGGAAACGGUAGCUAAUACCGCAUAACGUCGCAAGACCAAAGAGGGGGACCCUCGGGCCUCUUUCCAUCGGAUGUGCCCAGAUGGGAUGAGCUUGUUGGUGGGGUAACGGCUCACCAAGGCGAAGAUCCCUAGCUGGUCUGAGUGGAUGACCAGCCACACCGGAACUGAGACACGGUCCAGACUCCGACGGGAGACAGCAGUGGGGCAUAUUGCACAAUAGGCGCAAGCCUGAUGCAGCCAUGCCGCGUGUAUGAAGAAGGCCUUCGGGUUGUAAAGUACUUUCAGCGGGGAGGAAGGGAGUAAAGUUAAUACCUUUGCUCAUUGACGUUACCCGCAGAAGAAGCACCGGCUAACUCCGUGCCAGCAGCCGCCGUAA
Molecule: ribosomal RNA, 506 nt
Filed under: uncultured bacterium
Lineage: Bacteria
Description: partial 16S ribosomal RNA
Rfam family: Bacterial small subunit ribosomal RNA
Source: RNAcentral